AGAAGAGAAAGUCCUUGAGCUCUAGCAAGGGAGGUUUUACGACCUUGUGUAGGAUGAGACAAGCUAGGUUAUUUAUUACAGGUUACAUUCCAACAUAAUCAUACGAUCAAGAUAGUUUG
Molecule: long non-coding RNA, 119 nt
Organism: Syngnathus acus (greater pipefish)
Lineage: Eukaryota; Metazoa; Chordata; Actinopteri; Syngnathiformes; Syngnathidae
Exons: 2
Source: RefSeq, a predicted model, not a curated record